UACGGGGGAGCAAGCGUUGUUCGGAUUUACUGGGCGUAAAGGGCGCGUAGGCGGCCACCGCAAGUCGAUUGUGAAAUCUCCGGGCUUAACCCGGAAAGGUCAACCGAUACUGCGGGGCUAGAGUGCAGAAGGGGCAACUGGAAUUCUCGGUGUAGCGGUGAAAUGCGUAGAUAUCGAGAGGAACACCUGCGGCGAAGGCGGGUUGCUGGGCUGACACUGACGCUGAAGUGCGAAAGCUAGGGGAGCGAACGGG
Molecule: ribosomal RNA, 253 nt
Filed under: uncultured bacterium
Lineage: Bacteria
Description: partial 16S ribosomal RNA
Rfam family: Bacterial small subunit ribosomal RNA
Source: RNAcentral